UACAGAGGGGGCUAGCGUUGUUCGGAAUUACUGGGCGUAAAGGGUGCGUAGGCGGUUUAUUAAGUUAGAAGUGAAAUCCCGGAGCUUAACUUCGGAAUUGCUUUUAAUACUGAUAAGCUAGAGAUUGGUAGGGGAUAGUGGAAUUCCUAGUGUAGGAGUGAAAUCCGUAGAUAUUAGGAGGAACACCAGUGGCGAAGGCGGCUAUCUGGACCAAUACUGACGCUGAGGCACGAAAGUGUGGGGAGCAAACAGG
RNAcentral lists this ribosomal RNA (253 nucleotides) under uncultured bacterium. Its description in RNAcentral is "partial 16S ribosomal RNA". It matches the Rfam family "Bacterial small subunit ribosomal RNA", at positions 524 to 776 of the family's 1533-position model. The record is from RNAcentral.